Molecule: ribosomal RNA, 256 nt
Filed under: uncultured bacterium
Lineage: Bacteria
Description: partial 16S ribosomal RNA
Rfam family: Bacterial small subunit ribosomal RNA
Source: RNAcentral
UACGAAGGGGGCUAGCGUUCUUCGGAAUCACUGGGCGUAAAGGGCGCGUAGGCGGCUUGAUAAGUCGGGGGUGAAAGCCUGUGGCUCAACCACAGAAUUGCCUUCGAUACUGUCUGGCUUGAGACCGGAAGAGGUAAGUGGAACUGCGAGUGUAGAGGUGAAAUUCGUAGAUAUUCGCAAGAACACCAGUGGCGAAGGCGGACUUACUAGUCCGGUUCUGACGCUGAGGCGCGAAAAGCGUGGGGAGCAAACAGGG